UACGAGGGGUGCAAGCGUUGCUCGGAAUUAUUGGGCGUAAAGGGUAGGUAGGUGGUCUCAUUUGUCUGGGGUGAAAGCCUUGAGCUUAACUCAAGAAGUGCCCUAGAAACGGCGAGACUAGAGUCCUGGAGAGGGUCGUGGAAUUCCCGGUGUAGCGGUGAAAUGCGUAGAGAUCGGGAGGAACACCAGAGGCGAAGGCGGCGACCUGGACAGGUACUGACACUCAACUACGAAAGCGUGGGGAGCAAACAGG
This 253-nucleotide ribosomal RNA is filed under the name uncultured bacterium. RNAcentral's name for it is "partial 16S ribosomal RNA". It matches the Rfam family "Bacterial small subunit ribosomal RNA", at positions 524 to 776 of the family's 1533-position model. The record is from RNAcentral.